RNAcentral lists this small RNA (27 nucleotides) under Bombyx mori (domestic silkworm). RNAcentral describes it as "ovarian small RNA-32827". Lineage: Eukaryota; Metazoa; Arthropoda; Insecta; Lepidoptera; Bombycidae. The record is from RNAcentral.
UGAUGAUGAGGUGCAAUUCGCUGGGAG